This is a small nuclear RNA of Sciurus carolinensis (gray squirrel), 102 nucleotides long. The record is from RefSeq and is a predicted model, not a curated record. NCBI's taxonomy places the organism in Eukaryota, Metazoa, Chordata, Mammalia, Rodentia, Sciuridae.
GUGCUUGCUUUGCCAGUACAUACACUAAAAUUGGAACAAUACAGAGAUUAGCAUGACCCCUGUGCAAGAACAAUGCAAAUUUGUGAAGCAUUCCAUAUCCUU